UUUGACGUUAGCGACAGAAGAAGCACCGGCUAACUCCGUGCCAGCAGCCGCGGUAAUACGGAGGGUGCGAGCGUUAAUCGGAAUUACUGGGCGUAAAGCGCAUGCAGGUGGUUUGUUAAGUUCAGAUGUGAAAGACCCGGGGCUCAACCUCGGAAUAGCAUUUGAAACUAGGCAGACUAGAGUACUGUAGAGGGGGGUAGGAAUUUCAGGUGUAGCGGUGAAAUGCGUAGAGAUCUGAAGGAAUACCGGUGGCGAAGGCGGCCCCCUCGGACAGAUACUGACACUCAGAUGCGAAAGCGUGGGGAGCAAACAGGAUUAGAUACCCUGGUAG
This 331-nucleotide ribosomal RNA is filed under the name uncultured bacterium. RNAcentral's name for it is "bacterial SSU rRNA". It matches the Rfam family "Bacterial small subunit ribosomal RNA", at positions 468 to 793 of the family's 1533-position model. The record is from RNAcentral.